GAUGAACGCUGGCGGUAUGCUUAACACAUGCAAGUCGAACGAACUCUUCGGAGUGAGUGGCGGACGGGUGAGUAACGCGUGAGAAUCUGCCUCCGGGUUCGGGACAACAGUUGGAAACGACUGCUAAUACCGGAUGUGCCUAAGGGUAAAAGAUUAAUUGCCUGGAGAUGAGCUCGCGUUGGAUUAGCUUGUUGGUGAGGUAAGAGCUCACCAAGGCGACGAUCUAUAGCUGGUCUGAGAGGACGAUCAGCCACACUGGGACUGAGACACGGCCCAG
RNAcentral lists this ribosomal RNA (277 nucleotides) under uncultured bacterium. RNAcentral's name for it is "partial 16S ribosomal RNA". It matches the Rfam family "Bacterial small subunit ribosomal RNA", at positions 28 to 334 of the family's 1533-position model. The record is from RNAcentral.